Molecule: ribosomal RNA, 760 nt
Filed under: uncultured bacterium
Lineage: Bacteria
Description: bacterial SSU rRNA
Rfam family: Bacterial small subunit ribosomal RNA
Source: RNAcentral
CGUGCCUAACACAUGCAAGUCGAGCGAAGCGGUUUUAAGGAAGUUUUCGGAUGGAAUUAAAACUGACUGAGCGGCGGACGGGUGAGUAACGCGUGGGUAACCUGCCUCAUACGGGGGGAUAACAGUUAGAAAUGGCUGCUAAUACCGCAUAAGCACACAGCUUCGCAUGGAGCAGUGUGAAAAACUCCGGUGGUAUGAGAUGGACCCGCGUCUGAUUAGCUAGUUGGUAAGGUAACGGCUUACUAAGGCGACGAUCAGUAGCCGACCUGAGAGGGUGACCGGCCACAUUGGGACUGAGACACGGCCCAAACUCCUACGGGAGGCAGCAGUGGGGAAUAUUGCACAAUGGGGGAAACCCUGAUGCAGCGACGCCGCGUGAGUGAAGAAGUAUCUCGGUAUGUAAAGCUCUAUCAGCAGGGAAGAAAAUGACGGUACCUGACUAAGAAGCCCCGGCUAACUACGUGCCAGCAGCCGCGGUAAUACGUAGGGGGCAAGCGUUAUCCUGAUUUACUGGGUGUAAAGGGAGCGUAGACGGCGGAGCAAGUCUGAAGUGAAAGCCCGGGGCUCAACCCCGGGACUGCUUUGGAAACUGUUCUGUUAGAGUGCUGGAGAGGUAAGUGGAAUUCCUAGUGUAGCGGUGAAAUGCGUAGAUAUUAGGAGGAACACCAGUGGCCAAGGCGGCUUACUGGACAGUAACUGACGUUGAGGCUCGGAAGGGUGGGGAGCAAACAAGAUUAGAUACCCUGGUAGUCCACGCCGU